GACAAUUCCAUAAAGGAAAUCAGAGAGAAACUGCAGAUGGCACGCUUAGAAAUGAAGUCAGGGAAGAUGCCUCUGAGGCGGCCAUGGGAGAGCGGUUAUCCAACGGCUGAGAAGAAGCUGCUGUGAGAAGGACUGGAGAGGAGCACCUCAGGACUAAGGAGUAAGUGCCAAGGCCUGGAGGUGGCAAAGGCCCAAAGGGAUUUUCAUUUCCAAGAAAUCAAAACCCAGAGAGAGCCUUUGAUGGGUUUUAAAUUUGGAAGUGACAUGAUCUGAUUUUUUGUUUUUUCUCUUGCUAUGGAAAGGAAAUCUAUUGGAAUUUGGCAAGACUGGCAGAAGAAGACCAGUGAGGGUUCCAUUCCUGCCAUCCAGGUGAAAAAUGACGUCAUUGGACUGGGAGCAUCCAGCUUGCUUGCCCUUCUGCCUCCCACCAUGUGGAUGAAGGUUCUUCCCCUCUGGAAGAUGCAGCAGUAUGGCGCCAUGUUGGAAGCAGAGAGCAGCCCUCACCAGACAACCAAACCUGCCAGCUCCUUGAUCUUAGACUUAGCCUCCAGAAUUGUGAGAAAUAAAUUUCCGGUUGUUAUAAGUUACCCAGCCUGUGGCAUUUUUUUAUAGCGGCACUUACACAGACCACAGACCAGCCUCCCUCCACCUGGGCACAGGCACCUCCAUGCCAAUGUUUCUGAAGAAGCCAUUAUAAAAUCUUCAUAUUGAUGCUCAUGUUCUACCAAAUGGAAGUCUAUGGCUUCUAGAAUCUUAGGUGUAUCUUAGUGACAAGCUUUUAAUUCACUUUAAAAAUGUGAACAACCAUUUGUAUUAUUAGCAAAAUCUCUUUCUUAAAAGUUUCCAAAUGUCUACCCCUUUUCAUAUAAAAAAUAGGCCUUCUUUUCAGGAGAGAGGGAAAUCUUUCUUUGUUAUAAUACAUGAGUAUUGGCAUGAGUCAUGGAAAGGGCUUGAAUAAUUUGCAGACACGAUGCUAUUGAGUCAUCGUGAAUGAUACAAGGCCACUUGAAUACUGAUGAAGUUAAAUCCUUUAUAAUAAGAAGAAAUAAAAAUACUACUACUUUUUUAUUUUAUAAAGCUCAGUUUCACUUUUAUCCUAGAAGAAACACUGAGGCUAGAUAGCAACAAUUGUCAUUCAUGGAUGAGGAAGCUUAUUCCCUAAGAAGCCAAAUGGGAUCUUCAGCAGACAGAAAGAAUUGGAAGUGGGGCCCGGCGCGGUGGCUCAAGCCUGUAAUCCCAGCACUUUGGGAGGCCGAGGCGGGUGGAUCACGAGGUCAAGAUAUCGAGACCAUCCUGGUCAACAUGGUGAAACCCCGUCUCUACUAAAGAUACAAAAAAUUGGCUGGGCACGGUGGCGCGUGCCUGUAAUCCCAGCUACUCAGGAGGCUGAGGCAGGAGAAUUGCCUGAACCCAGGAGGCGGAGGUUGCGGUGAGCCGAGAUCGCGCCAUUGCACUCCAGCCUGGGUAACAAGAGCGAAACUCUGUCUCAAAAAAAAAAAAGAAUUGGAAGUGUAACACGGAGUUGAACACAAGUAUUGCCUCUCCUUAUCCAACAGGUUCCUUUUUCUACCACAAAAGGUAAAAUAUUAUAUUAAAAACCAAACUGUCCCAAUUGUGAUAAACAUCCUCAAGGAUCUUGUGAUUCUAAAGGUUUUAAGCUAUAUGACUGACAGGGUUUGAUGGGUACAUUGGAAUGCCUGUGAUUUAUUAUAUAAUUUAAGUGCCCAUCUGUGCAUCCGCGCAAAGACAUAGCUGAUGAAAAUAUCAGCUGUCCAGCUGUUUUCUCUGCGCCAUAAAGGUCAUGAGGAUUGCUUCUCUGGCUGCCAUCACCACUCUAACAACCCCACCUUCUGUCACAGGGACGUUUCACAUUUCCCUACUCUCCUGAAAAAGCAAGGACAACAACACUGGUCCUUAAUUCUGAAGAAGAUCCCAGCUAUUUUCCAGGCUAGCUGAAAAUUCAUGAUCCUUGACGUUAGUUAAAGAAGUCAUCCUCUCACCCUCUGUGUCACUGUGACUCCCCUUCCAGCUAGCUAGCCUGGGACAUGGAGGGGCUGUUGUCUGGCCUAGUCUCCUGCACUGAAUUUCUGCUUCCUUACACUUACGCUUCCAACCUUUACAAGAAUAAAUAAAUUAUGCAACACCAAAAACAGGAGGCACAAUGUUACCUUCCCACCUUCCAGGAGUUGCUUAGCUGCUUAUCUGUUCUCCAUGGCUCUGGAGUCAUUGACAAGUGUCAUGACUGUAAGACAGCAGCAAACUUAGCAAUAAUUUCCAAUGGGUCCUGUUUUGUUUUAAUAUGAUUCACUUGAACCCUACGGUCCUUAGCAACCCUACUUACUAUCCUUUCCAUUGAGAUAGCUACUCACCAAGUAUCGGGGUUAUGGUAGAUACUCAAUAUAUAAGUAUGAACAAAAGAGAACGCUGAACAAGAGAGUGAGUGGUUGACUGGUAAGUAGGAUCAGAAGAAAGGAUUGCAAAUACAUAAGCUAUUUACUUAAUAUGCCAUAGACACAAUGGGGAUUCAAACUCCAUACUACAUUCAUUGCCUACAACAGUAAUUUAGACACACAUCAGAAAAUCAAGGAGCUGUGAUGAGGUUGACAUCAAACAUUAAUUUCAUAGCUAUUGAUCCCUUUAUAUGUCUUUCAAAGCCAUAAGUAGCAAUUAUAACCCAAGGGCAAACAGCAAAAUAGUACCCUCAAAUCAGUAGCAUGGGGAAGAAAGGAGAGAGAGGGUAGGCAUCCUGCAGGGAUUCAGAGGUUUCCUGAUCCUGACUUCUGGUCCCCAAUUCCAUCAUCUCAGCUGGCUGCCAACGGGACUGGCCCAGGGACCCAGACAGAUUUGCUACCCUGAUUUGUCUGGGGGAGGCCAAGUACUGAGUGGCUUAAAACCAUGUGCAACUUUUAAAAAUAAUUAUUCCAGAAAUAUUGGCCGGGUGCAGUGGCUCACACAUGUAAUUCCAGCACUUUGGGAGGCCCAAGUGAGCAGAUCACCUGAGGUCAGGAGUUCACAACCAGCCUGGGCAACAUGGUGAAACCCCAUCUCUACUAAAAACACAAAAAAUUACCCAAGCAUGGUAACUCUUGCCUGUAAUCCCAGCUACUCAGGAGGCUGAGGCCAUAUAAUUGCUUAAUCCCAGGAGACAGAGGUUGAAGUGAGCCGAGAUCGCUCCAUUGUGCUCCGGCCUGGACAACAGACAAUACAUAUGUGUAGAUAUAGGAAAAAUUCGCCUAAAACAAUACAUAUGUGUAGAUAUAGGAACCCUUUCAAUAUCAGUGUGUCAGAGGGCCUCACAUUCUAGUUUUGAAAUCUGAGUUUUUACCUAAAAACUGUGAAUGCCCUGAGAACAACCCCUAAAUGCUAUCCAUAUUGUAAGUAAUUAAAAAAAAAAGGACAGGUCCUAUAUACUAUGCAAACAAUCAGUACUUUAUUAACAUUGAAACUCAUCACUAGUAAUCAUAUGGAUUUUCAGGAACAAAGGUUCCUCUCCGCAAUUCAUUCAGAAAAAAUAUAUACACCGACAAGGAGAUUUUAAGUAAAGUCAAGCAACAGAAGACAGCUCGAUUUUCUUUGCAGGAUUCUAGUCUCAGUUUCUCUGACCC
This 3605-nucleotide long non-coding RNA is filed under the name Callithrix jacchus (white-tufted-ear marmoset). RNAcentral describes it as "lncRNA (ENSCJAG00000083862.1)". Lineage: Eukaryota; Metazoa; Chordata; Mammalia; Primates; Cebidae. The record is from RNAcentral.